UACGUAGGGUGCGAGCGUUGUCCGGAUUUAUUGGGCGUAAAGAGCUCGUAGGCGGUUUGUCGCGUCGGCCGUGAAAUCUCCACGCUUAACGUGGAGCGUGCGGUCGAUACGGGCAGACUUGAGUUCGGUAGGGGAGACUGGAAUUCCUGGUGUAGCGGUGAAAUGCGCAGAUAUCAGGAGGAACACCAGCGGCGAAGGCGGCGCUCUGGGCCGGAACUGACGCUGAGGAGCGAAAGCGUGGGUAGCAAACAGG
RNAcentral lists this ribosomal RNA (253 nucleotides) under uncultured bacterium. RNAcentral's name for it is "partial 16S ribosomal RNA". It matches the Rfam family "Bacterial small subunit ribosomal RNA", at positions 524 to 776 of the family's 1533-position model. The record is from RNAcentral.